RNAcentral lists this ribosomal RNA (380 nucleotides) under Acanthamoeba genotype T4. Its description in RNAcentral is "SSU rRNA". It matches the Rfam family "Eukaryotic small subunit ribosomal RNA", at positions 801 to 1081 of the family's 1831-position model. The record is from RNAcentral. Lineage: Eukaryota; Discosea; Longamoebia; Acanthamoebidae.
ACAUUAGCAUGGGAUAAUGGAAUAGGACCCUGUACCUCCUAUUUUCAGUUGGUUUUGGCAGCGCGAGGACUAGGGUAAUGAUUAAUAGGGAUAGUUGGGGGCAUUAAUAUUUAAUUGUCAGAGGUGAAAUUCUUGGAUUUAUGAAAGAUUAACUUCUGCGAAAGCAUCUGCCAAGGAUGUUUUCAUUAAUCAAGAACGAAAGUUAGGGGAUCGAAGACGAUCAGAUACCGUCGUAGUCUUAACCAUAAACGAUGCCGACCAGCGAUUAGGAGACGUUGAAUACAAAACACCACCAUCGGUGCGGUCGUCCUUGGCGUUGGUCUUCUCAAAAGCCAGCGCGGGGGGGUUACUUCGCCGGGGCCCGUGAGUGAGUCACUCCC